Molecule: long non-coding RNA, 364 nt
Filed under: Manihot esculenta (cassava)
Lineage: Eukaryota; Viridiplantae; Streptophyta; Magnoliopsida; Malpighiales; Euphorbiaceae
Description: long non-coding RNA (MESC_LNC011188)
Source: RNAcentral
UCAAAGAUGUGCACACACUGGAGCAGUCAUAUCUUCCUAUUUAGGCAGCAAGAUCUCAUGAAGACGCACUUGCCUCUUCUGCGUUCAGCAUUCAAAAUUCAAACGAAGGCUCCACCUAAAAAGGAAAGACUGGACAGAUUCACUUUCCCUUCUGCAUUCAAUGACUGCACUCCACUUCCUCUUCUGCAAUCCGCGCGCAUCCUUCCUCUUUUGAAGCCUGAUCCGCGCGCCUCCUUCCUUCUGGAGAAUUUGCAAUGCGAUUCUUUCCUUUUCAGCACUUUGGGCAGCCUCUUCACUAAUUAGGAAGCAAGUAUGACCUAGGGCAGCACUUUCAACUAUAAAAAGACACAUAAGGAGCCUCCAC